Molecule: long non-coding RNA, 483 nt
Organism: Raphanus sativus (radish)
Lineage: Eukaryota; Viridiplantae; Streptophyta; Magnoliopsida; Brassicales; Brassicaceae
Exons: 3
Source: RefSeq, a predicted model, not a curated record
CAGGAGUUGAAGAUUAAAAACAUUGCUUUAGGCCCAAGUUACUUGUAUAUAUACGAAGCUAGGGCUUCGGGAGUUUAAGCAGUAGCGUCAAAAAGUGUUAUGGGAGGAGGAGAGUCAGUAACGAAAAGAAGACGGCGUCCCGGUCAACUUCACCGUAAACGCAGGCGCUUUCCUAAGAUGCCGAUUCCGAAGCAGCCCUGUUUUAAUACUCAACCUUUGACAGUGGAAAAGUUUCUGGAAAGUCUUGCUAUUACCACCACGACUCCGUCGCCAUCAUCAAGCAUAGCUAAGCAAGAAGAAGAAUAAGAAGCUCGCUAUGAUCAACCACAAAGCUUAAUCUCACUCAUUAAGUCCUUUUCUAAUGUUUUGUAAUCGCAUUAUCAUGACUUGAAAUAAAGGUCUAAGUUGUUGUUACCAGCGACAUUCUCUUCUUUUGUGUGGAGAAUCAUUAGCAAUUUUUAUUUCUUAAUUUUGCGAUAAAUA